GACGAACGCUGGCGGCGUGCUUAACACAUGCAAGUCGAACGAUGAACCGGCUUCGGCUGGGGAUUAGUGGCGAACGGGUGAGUAACACGUGGGCAAUCUGCCCUGCACUCUGGGACAAGCCCUGGAAACGGGGUCUAAUACCGGAUAUGACCUGGUGAGGCAUCUCAUUGGGUGGAAAGCUCCGGCGGUGCAGGAUGAGCCCGCGGCCUAUCAGCUUGUUGGUGGGGUGAUGGCCUACCAAGGCGACGACGGGUAGCCGGCCUGAGAGGGCGACCGGCCACACUGGGACUGAGACACGGCCCAGACUCCUACGGGAGGCAGCAGUGGGGAAUAUUGCACAAUGGGCGAAAGCCUGAUGCAGCGACGCCGCGUGAGGGAUGACGGCCUUCGGGUUGUAAACCUCUUUCAGCAGGGAAGAAGCGAAAGUGACGGUACCUGCAGAAGAAGCGCCGGCUAACUACGUGCCAGCAGCCGCCGUAACAC
RNAcentral lists this ribosomal RNA (483 nucleotides) under uncultured bacterium. RNAcentral describes it as "bacterial SSU rRNA". It matches the Rfam family "Bacterial small subunit ribosomal RNA", at positions 28 to 526 of the family's 1533-position model. The record is from RNAcentral.